This 1229-nucleotide ribosomal RNA is filed under the name metagenome. Its description in RNAcentral is "SSU rRNA". It matches the Rfam family "Eukaryotic small subunit ribosomal RNA", at positions 323 to 1606 of the family's 1831-position model. The record is from RNAcentral.
GGAUGGUAGUGUAUUGGACUACCAUGGCAGUCACGGGUAACGGAGAAUUAGGGUUCGAUUCCGGAGAGGGAGCCUGAGAAACGGCUACCACAUCUACGGAAGGCAGCAGGCGCGCAAAUUGCCCAAUCCCGACACGGGGAGGCAGUGACAAGAAAUAACAACUCUUGGAUUUCUAAGAAGUGUAAUGAGGAUAAUUUACAACCCUUACCGAAAGCAAUUGGAGGGCAAGUCUGGUGCCAGCAGCCGCGGUAAUUCCAGCUCCAAUAGCGUAUAUUAAAGUUGUUGCAGUUAAAAAGCUCGUAGUUGAAGUUCUGAUUGUUCGGGCCUCGCGCUAUAUAGCCGAGGAACCGACAGUCAUCCGCUUGCAAAUAUAUGUUCGCCUUUAACCGGGUGGCUAUAUGAGUAAGCAAUUUACCUUGAGAAAAACAGAGUGUUCCAGGCAGGUUUGUCCGGAAUGCAUUAGCAUGGAAUAAUAGAAUAUGACUGAAGUCGAUUUAUUGGUUUAAGGCUUUAGUAAUGAUUAAUAGGAACAGUCGGGGGCAUUGGUACUUGACAGUCAGAGGUGAAAUUCUAGGAUUUGUCAAAGACUAACAAAUGCGAAAGCAUUUGCCAAGGAUGUUUUCAUUAAUCAAGAACGAAAGUUAGGGGAUCAAAGACGAUCAGAUACCGUCCUAGUCUUAACUAUAAACUAUACCGACUCGGAUUCAGAUGAAUCAAAAAGUUCAUUUGGGACCGUAGGAGAAAUCAAAGUUUUUGGGUUCUGGGGGAAGUAUGGUCGCAAGGCUGAAACUUAAAGGAAUUGACGGUUUUGCACCACCAUGGAGUGGAGUUUGCGGCUUAAUCUGACCCAACACUGGGAAACUCAUCAGGGCAAGAAGAUUUUAGGAUUGACAGAUUGAGAGUUCUUUCUUGAUUGGUCUAGUGGUGGUGCAUGGCCGUUCUUAGUUGGUGGAGUGAUUUGUCUGGUUAAUUCCGUUAACGAACGAGACCUUAACCUGCUAACUAGUAUUAAUAUCCCAAAUAUUAACUACUUCUUAGAGGGACUAUGUGAUGUAAUCACAUGGAAGUUUGAGGCAAUAACAGGUCUGUGAUGCCCUUAGAUGUCCUGAGCUGCACGCGUACUACAAUGGCACUUUCAACGAGCUUUUCCUGAUCCGAAAGGAUUUGGGUAAUCUUUUUAGUGAGUGCCGUGAUUGGGAUAGAUCUUUGUAAUUAUGGAUCUUGAACUA